Molecule: small nucleolar RNA, 136 nt
Organism: Accipiter nisus (Eurasian sparrowhawk)
Lineage: Eukaryota; Metazoa; Chordata; Aves; Accipitriformes; Accipitridae
Source: Ensembl
AAGCACUGCCUUUGAACCUGAUGUGUCUUGUUUGUAGCUUCACGGGCCAAGCAACAGUGCUAGAGCGUAAGGACUUGUUAUAACUGGGGCUCUUCAGCUCUCAACUGAACUGCUCUUUUAAAAACAAGGUACAUUU